GACGAACCGUGCAAACGUUAUUCGGAAUCACUGGGCAUAAAGGGCGCGUAGGCGGCUUCAUAAGUCAGGGGUGAAAUCCGGCAGCUUAACUGUCGCAGUGCCUUUGAUACUGUGGAGCUCGAGGGAGGUAGGGGUCUGUGGAACUUCCGGUGGAGCGGUGAAAUGCGUUGAUAUCGGAAGGAACGCCGGUGGCGAAAGCGACGGACUGGACCUCUUCUGACGCUGAGGCGCGAAAGCCAGGGGAGCAAACGGG
This 253-nucleotide ribosomal RNA is filed under the name uncultured bacterium. RNAcentral's name for it is "partial 16S ribosomal RNA". It matches the Rfam family "Bacterial small subunit ribosomal RNA", at positions 524 to 776 of the family's 1533-position model. The record is from RNAcentral.